UGGGGAAUUUUGGACAAUGGGCGAAAGCCUGAUCCAGCAAUGCCGCGUGUGUGAAGAAGGCCUUCGGGUUGUAAAGCACUUUUGUCCGGAAAGAAAUGGCUCUGGUUAAUACCUGGGGUCGAUGACGGUACCGGAAGAAUAAGGACCGGCUAACUACGUGCCAGCAGCCGCGGUAAUACGUAGGGUCCAAGCGUUAAUCGGAAUUACUGGGCGUAAAGCGUGCGCAGGCGGUUGUGCAAGACCGAUGUGAAAACCCCGAGCUUAACUUGGGAAUUGCAUUGGUGACUGCACGGCUAGAGUGUGUCAGAGGGGGGUAGAAUUCCACGUGUAGCAGUGAAAUGCGUAGAGAUGUGGAGGAAUACCGGUGGCGAAGGCAGCCCCCUGGGAGUACACUGACGCUCAUGCACGAAAGCGUGGGGAGCAAACAGG
This 429-nucleotide ribosomal RNA is filed under the name Actinomycetes bacterium. RNAcentral describes it as "Actinobacteria bacterium partial 16S ribosomal RNA". It matches the Rfam family "Bacterial small subunit ribosomal RNA", at positions 355 to 776 of the family's 1533-position model. The record is from RNAcentral. Lineage: Bacteria; Bacillati; Actinomycetota; Actinomycetes.